AAGUCGUAACAAGGUUUCCGUAGGUGAACCUGCGGAAGGAUCAUUAUUGAGCCUUAGUGCUCUUAAUUUAAAAGUGGUUGUUUAGCUGCUUAAUUUAAAAAUAGCUGUUUAGCUAUAUUUUUACUCUGUGAAAACAUUAUACCAUUUGACUACUAGUGUAACAGCUUUUUUUACUUUAUUAAAUUAAAUAAAACAACUGUUAGCAACGGAUCACUUGGUUCUCACAUCG
This 229-nucleotide unclassified non-coding RNA is filed under the name fungal sp. RNAcentral's name for it is "partial internal transcribed spacer region". The stretch from base 1 to 46 matches the Rfam family "Eukaryotic small subunit ribosomal RNA", at positions 1786 to 1831 of the family's 1831-position model. The record is from RNAcentral. Lineage: Eukaryota; Fungi.